CCGCCUCUGAGUUCCUAAUUUCCCAUUGGGCAUCAGUGACCACCUUCAAUUGGCAAGGUCAACUAUCCAUCAAACACCGCCCACUGAGUAAGACCCAACCCUUCAGUACCAUUUACUUCAUUCAGCACCGCCUCUGCCAUACCUCCCGGACGUAAGGGACCAACCCACCGUACCAGUCAUAAGUAGAGACCGACGUCAAUCAAAUAACGCCCACCUGCGCUCCUCCUCGCAAAGCACGAACUCUAGAGAUUCUCUUUUCUUAUUGGUCCAAAGGGUGGCCCGAGCCCUCAGUCAUUGGCUUCCUCUACCUGUCUGUCACUGAAGCAAUUUCCAAGUCCGUCACACCGGCUUUUUUUAAAUGAACGCGCAAAAGGCGGGGAAGUUUGUAUCCGAAAAGUGAUUGGCUAGUCUUCGAAACGGUCAAACCCAGGGCGUCUGUGCGGAUCUUUCUCGUUCUGCGAGGACCGUGACCCUUUAUUUUUGACCUCUAAGCCUGGCGUCAAACAAGCGCCAUAAAGGAGCCAACGGGCUGUCCAGUUAUAGGUGUGGGGGCCUAGUCCCACCCGGAAUUGCAGGGGGUUGGCUGCUGAAUGGCUAACAAAGUCCUGGUAGUCCUUCUAUUGGAGGAUAUAAACGCCUCUCUUCUGCACGGAGACGGGAAAGGAUGGCGCAGGCGAGGACAAGAAGCGGUCUGGGGAGAGGCGGUUGUUUUGCUUCAGCCUGAGGGUGGGGCGCACGCGGGAGAGGGAAACUCGGAGGGCAGGGCUCUGGGGGAGGUGUUGUGGGGAGGGGAAAAACCCGGAUGUUCUCUAACAAUGAAAUCAUCGCCGACCAAUCAGAGCUGCUGCGCGGGAUACCUGCUUGACCUGUCCCCAGAAGCGACGAGAAUGAGAAGAAGGGAGUCUGGAAUCCCAGCUUCCAAAAUAGGAAGCUAAAGAUCAUAAAAGUGGAGACAUCUGGAGAUACUUGUUUUGAGAAUCCAAGCAACCUCAGAAGGAUGAAAAUAAACUCAAGCAGAGACAAAACCAAGAAGACUUUGCAGACACCAGUAGGUCUUCAAUGCACCCAGCUGUCUCUUCCCCAAGCUGUUAAAGACCUUAGGCUCUGAGACACUAGGGCUUUACAGCUUUCUAACUUCCAUUAAAAUCAAGUGGAUUCAAUGCCAUGAAAAGUACUUUAACUGAAGUUUAUCCUUAAUGCCACAUAACUCUCACCUCUUGCAUUAGUCAG
Molecule: long non-coding RNA, 1230 nt
Filed under: Equus asinus (donkey)
Lineage: Eukaryota; Metazoa; Chordata; Mammalia; Perissodactyla; Equidae
Description: lncRNA (ENSEASG00005026737.1)
Source: RNAcentral